Molecule: non-coding RNA, 761 nt
Organism: Macaca mulatta (Rhesus monkey)
Lineage: Eukaryota; Metazoa; Chordata; Mammalia; Primates; Cercopithecidae
Source: RefSeq, a predicted model, not a curated record
CAGGGUCGACGACCCGCUCACCCGGAAGCAGUUGUGGCCGUGACUGCCCGGGAGUGGCGUUUGCCGCAGGCCGGCCUUGCACCCCGCUGGGCAAAGUACGCGGGGCUGUCAGACGACGAGCUGAGCCCUGGGCCGGCGGAUUCUGAACUAUUUCCAAGAAAAUGCCACCACUUGCUUCAUCUCCUGAGGCACCUUGAAUACCCCUUUGCCUUGAAUGAGAGAGAGAAAAUUGUUUUUCCUUCAUUCAUAUAAUUGUGGAAUGAUAGCUCUGAAAAAGCCAUGAGAGCUGAUGAAGGCCUCCUGUCUCCAAGAAAGAACAGAAAUGGAGAAGAUUUGGUCUCUUUCGUUCACCACUAUAUCCUUAGCAGUGUCUUGAACAAUGCCUGACACAUACCCGCCUGAACCCAGGUGAAAUAAACCGCCUUGUCGCUCAUACAAAGCCUGUUUGGUGGUCUCCUCACAUGGACGCGUGAGACAUUUGGUGCCGAAGACCCGGGUCAGCGGGACUCCUUCGGGAGACCAGUCCCCUGUCCUCACCCUCACUCCGUGAAGAGAUCCACCUACGACCUCGGGUCCUCAGACCAACCAGCCCAAGGAACAUCUCACCGAUUUUAAAUCGAAUCUCCUUGGCUUAGCAGCUGAAGACUGAUGCUGCCCGAUCGCCUUGGACGCCCCCUGGACCGUCACGGACGCUGAGCUUCGGGUCACUCUUACAGUGGAGGACAGGAAUAUCAGGCCUCUGAGCCCAAGCUAAGCCAUCA